GUAGCAUUCGCUGCUCCAUGCUGGCCCUAUACACUUGUGCUCCUUUACGUCGGCGUUAAACAUUUUGCCUCCAAUCAAGCAUGUUGCCUUGCACAGGAAGCCUACACAGAGUGGACUCCCAGAGGUAUUUCCCCAACACUUUUUUUCUGCAACGAAUUAACAUGCGUGUUUAUAUCCAUGAAGAACUUACAGUCGAAGAGAAAAAAUAAUAAUAGUCGGAAGAAUAGAAUUGAUGCGGUUUCUUCAUGAAUUAUUUGCCGAUUAUCAUCCGUCUGAACCGAAUGAGACAAAAGAAGAGCACAAACCUGCAGAACCAUGAUUCGCGAAUAACACAAGGAUCAGCACAAAGCAGAUGGUAGCAUUUCUCGCACCCAUAAUCGAUGGUGUUGGGCGAAGUAUCAAGUAUACUCUCUCUUUUCUGUUCUUUCUCUAGUUAGUUUUGAUAUGGAGCAAGUACUGUUAUGCCAGAGAGAUUAUGCAAUAUUUAUAGACUUGGAAGAAAAAGAUUUGUAUAGGAGAGGACAAACAUGUUUAAUAACUUCCUUUUUUGAAAAGGAGGUAAAAUAUGUUUAAUACUCCCUCCUCCCAAAAUUAUUGUUUUAGAUUUGUCUAAAUACGGAUGUAUCAAGUCACGUUUUAGUAUUAGAUACAUCCGUAUCUAAGCAAAUCUAAGACAAGAAUUUUGGGGCGGAGGAAGUAACUUCUUUUUUUGAAAGUCUCAAAAUUCUUGUCUUAAAUUUGUCUAAAUACGGAUGUAUCAAGUCACGUUUUAGUAUUAGAUACAUCUGUAUCUAGGCAAAUCUAAGACAAGAAUUUUGGGACGGAUGGAGUAUCUUUUUUUUUUUGACAAGGAGAUAAACAUAUGUUUAAUAACUUCUAUUUUUGAAAAGGAGGUAAAAAUAUGUUUAAUAACUUCUUUUGUUGAAAAUGAGGUAAAAUAUAUAUGUCCAACAACUUGAUAGAUAUGCAAUAUGUUGGUCUGUAAGAAUACCAAGGAGAAAAAAAAUUCUCCUAGACCCUUUCUUUCUCUUAAAAACUUCCGUAAACUUUUAGAGGAAGUUUCUUCAGAGCUACUUUUGUCAGAUCCUGCAAACUUCUUCCUCUAAAUCUGUUUAUUUUAUUUCAUUUUAUUUUCCACUAAAUAAAACUAGAUAAUGGCCUAGGGCCUGCCAGUCAGUGACAUGGGUGUCAGCCUUCGGCGAGGGAGUGCAGUGGCCGUCGGUGAGAGGCGGUGUGGUGACCGGGAGCUGCGCAUGGGCGGGGCGUGUAGUGGCGUAGCGGCUGCAUUCUCGCGGGACGGCGGCGUGUUGGCGGGUUGGCGGUGCGUCGGAAAGUUGCAAGCAGUUUCUAGCCCACCAAAAGCUUACCAGAGGAAAGUUUGGGCCAAGUUUACACGAUCCUCUAAAUUUAUUCCACAUUUCUGGGAUCUGUUGGAAGCUUGUAGAUGCUCUAAAGCUGGGGGGGAGGGGGGGCUCCUAUUCUACGAUGUAUGCGGGGAGUAGCAACGAGACGCACACUCACUUGUCCGUUUGUUUCACUUUGUUUCACUUUGUUAUUUGUUUUACUUUUCCGUUUUUUCUUCUUUAUGAAAGUUUGGAUUUUUUAAAAAGUCCUGAAUUUGAACUCAAAUAAUUUUCAUGAUUUUUUUAAAUUUGAAGAACAUUUUUGAAUAUCACGAAUAUGUUUUUUAACUCAUGAACAUUUUUAAUAUGAUAAAUAAUUUUAAAAUUGAUGAAUUUUAUUUGAAUUUUAUGAACAGUUUUUUAAUUAAAAUUGAUGAAGAUUUUUUGAAUUUGAUGGAUACUUUUUAAAUUUGGUGAACGAAAUAUAUUCGUGAUUUCAAAAAAAAUCAUAGAUUUUAAAAAAGUAUUCACGAAAAGAGAAGAAAAUAAAAAGGAAAAAAUAAAACAAAACAGAAAAUAAAAACGAACAUGAAAAAAUGUAUAAAAAGAAAAUCUAUUAAACGCACCUGAGAAGACCUGGAAUCUUACUGGCUAGCGGCACAUAGGUUGCUGUACUAGCUAGCGCAUGUAUGAUCCUCACUUCUGCAUCUUAAAUUUGAAGAUGGUUUCUCCUAUGCUCAACAUAAUUUUUAUAACCCCGUAAAAAACAUAUUUUUAAUAAACGCGUGUCAUCAAAUGUUUGUGGACACAUCCAUACAUAUCCAUGCAAAAAAAAAAUCCAUACAUAUCCAUGGAGAGCCGUGCAGGCACCGAUCAUCCAAUCAUAUUUUCCAAAUGUCAGUCUAAUGGAGAAAAGAGAGAAGGGAGCGGGAUGAAAAAAUGUAUUUGUGAUGUGGUCCAAGGCUGAGUUGGCGCGUCCGCGGCGUGUUUGGACUCCCCCAAUCACUCCUAGGUUUGGUCUUUUUUUUUCGAACAUCUCCUAGGUUUGGUCCUGAUUUGUGGGAUUUGGGAUGUGAGGACUGCCUGACCCACUGUCCACGGAUAUUUGGCGACUCUCUUUUGUAUGUGAGAAAAACUUUCGAUUUAUUCAUCUUCAAUCAUGAAGUACAAUGAGCACUAGAAAUUAUAAAAAUUACAUCCAGUUUUGUAAACCACCUAGCGACGACUACAAACACUGAGGUGAGUCGAAGGCACGCCGCAGUCAUCGCUCCUCCCUCACUGAAGCGGGGCAAAACUUGUUGUAGUAGGCAGUUGGAAAGUCGUCGUGCUAAGACCCAUAGGACCAACGCACCAGAACGGCAACCACUGCCGAUGAAGAGUGGCGUAGAUCAGAAGGAUCCAACCUGAAGACACGCGAAUAUAGAUGAACGACGACCAGAUCCGAGCAAAUCCACCAAAGACAGAUCCGCCGGAGACACACCUCCACACGCCCACCGACGAUACUAGGCGCACCACCGGAAUGGGGACUAGGCGGGGAGACCUUUAUUCCAUCUUCAAGGAGCCGCCGCUGUCUCGCCUUCCUGAGCAGAACACAAACCCUAACAAAACUCGAAGAAACAUCUAAAAACGGUGUCCUCCCACCCGCAAGGAUAGGGAUCCAUCUCACCCGCAUGGCCCUAAGGCCACCGGAGACAAGGCGGAUCAACGCUGGCGGGAGUCGGAGGAACCCUCGAAUUUUUUUUGGAAGGCGACGGCUACAACAUGAGGAUAUUUGGUGACUCUCGUUGGAUGGUAAAAAGUGUUCGGACCAUCCAGUCCAGAUAUUUAUGGGCGAUUUGGUGAUCUAUAUGGAGUUGCCCUAGGUUCCCAAGAUUUGAAGUCUCCUGGUGUGUAAGGAGCUACGGGCCUCGUCUGUAAGGGGGUGUGUCGCCGGGUCGGUCAUUUUUUUGGGGUUUUGGCCAAUUAUUGUCUGAUUUUUGUUUUUUCUUUAUUUUAUGUGUUUUCAUUGGUUUUAACUUUUUGUUGUGUUUUUCUAUUUUCACUUUUCACAUUUAAUUCAUGAGAAGUUUCUCAAUUUCAUGAAUAAUUUUGAAGUCCUUGAACAUUUAAAAUUUGCAAACAAUGUUUAAAAUCAAUGAAUAUUUUCAAAAUUCAUUAACAUUUUUUUUCAGAAUUCAUGUAUUUUCAAUAUGUUACAUUUUUAAAAUCCAAGCUUUGUUAAAAUACAUGAGCUUCUUUACAUAAAGGAAAUAUGGUAGCAGAUUUCAUUUGAGCUAGCAAUGGAGCGAGUCGGAAAAAAAACUAAGCAAGCGAGCUGAGCAGGUAGCUGAGCUGAGCGAGCGAGAUCUUCAUGGGCCGACCCAUGUAGGCGUUAUAGCAGCAAUUCCAUUGUUUCAAGGUGGAACAAGAGCUCUCAAAGGGCUCACACAAACACCACCAAUAUUUUUUUUGAAAGAUCCAGCAAGUGCUAUCUUCAAUUAGAUUUAGCAGAAAGCAGUGGAAGAACAACAAGGGGAGGAUCUGAAGAUCAAAGAAAAAAAGUCAAUCCUAUUGGCUGCAGAACAAUACUACACACACGACAGAUAGUCAUCCACCCACAACAAGACAACGCAGCUCCGACUCUGGUGAAGAACUACGGAGAACUAGACAAGGCUCGCAUCAUGGAAGAUCACCGAACGAACUAGCUAUUGCCCGUCAUCGUAUGCCACCGGGCCCACACUGCAGCUUCGACUUUCCACGGACACGCUGGAGAAGAGCCGACUACCACGACUAAUGUCACGCCUCUGACAAUGCUCACCAUCAUCAUCAUUGCCACAUAAGCCUAACCGCCCUCAUUGCCACACGAUCAAGCAGAACGAACGACUUCCCCCACCUAUCACUGGUCCCUCUGGCAGUAAGAAGCUCCUGAAACGAUGCCUCAAGAGGUAUGACACACGUCGCCAUCAUCGUUUGAUCCUAGGGGAUCAAGGGUUUCCCCCGAGCUUCCUUGCGUAGUGGAGCUCACACGCCACCUCAAUGAGGCCUUCAAUAAGGAAGCGAAUGCCCACGAGCAUCACCCCAUUGGCCACGGCCACUGCCGGAAACAAGGCCUUAGCCCAGCACUACGCAACUGCCUCCCACCCAAUCAAAUACCGGUUAGACCUUCGUCACCAUCCCCGCCCGACAGCGUGGGUGGUGCUCGAGGGGGUCUGAUUUUCAAGAAUGAAAUAUCAAGGAUAAGAAUGAAAACCCAAACACCACCAGGUAACACCAAGACCGAAACGUGCGUAUAAGGACACCACAACCACACACCUAAUGACUCCACUCUUCUUUCCGAAAAAUACCAUCUCCAACAACAACCUAAUAUGAUAUAACGAAUGAGAAAAAAAAAUACCGCCAAACAUAAUUAAAAAUAACAUGGAAUUGUCUCAGAUCAAUGCUAACAAUAGAUCGGCAUGGCCGAUUGUUUAGACCUCCACUAAGACAACGCAGCACCGACUCUCAGAUCAAUGCUAACAAUGGAUUAGCAUAUCAUAUACAUUCACGAUUACAAAUCAAUGGACAUUUUUUGUCGGGAUAACAAUGCACUUGUUUACAAAAUUCAUAUCAUCACAACAUCGACGAGAAUAAAUUAUUCAGGCACUUUAUAUGCUAAACCAAGAAAUUACAAACUAGUGCCCAUGUUUCUUUGACCAUUUGUGCUAACAAACUAUUUGUCGCAGAGAUAGCAGUAGCAUUGGCUAUUGAAUGAUGACCCUAUGCACUUGUGUUCCUUGACGACAGCAUUAAACAUUUUGCCCGCAAUCGAGCAUGUCGCCUGGCAUAGAAAGCCUACACAGAGUGGACUGCCAGAGGUAUUUUCCCAGCAUUUUUGUUCUGCAACGAAUUAACACACAUGUUCAUAUCCAUGAAGAACUUAUAACCGAAGAAAAACCAAUAGAAUUGCUGCAGAUUCUCCAUGAAUUAUUUGCCGAUUAUCAUCGGUCUGAACAGAACGAGACGAAGAGAAGAGCACAAACCUGCAGA
Molecule: long non-coding RNA, 5348 nt
Filed under: Triticum aestivum (bread wheat)
Lineage: Eukaryota; Viridiplantae; Streptophyta; Magnoliopsida; Poales; Poaceae
Description: long non-coding RNA (TAES_LNC007507)
Rfam family: MIR1120/MIR1122 microRNA precursor family (bases 570-703)
Source: RNAcentral